CCUACGGGUGGCAGCAGUGGGGAAUAUUGCACAAUGGGGGGAACCCUGAUGCAGCGACGCCGCGUGGGUGAAGAAGCGCCUCGGCGCGUAAAGCCCUAUCAGCAGGGAAGAAAAUAACGGUAACUGAAAAAGAAACCCCGGCUAACUACGGGCCAGCAGCCGCGGUAAUACGUAGGGGGCAAGCGUUAUCCGGAUUUACUGGGUGUAAAGGGGGCGCAGACGGCGAAGCAAGCCAGGAGUGAAAGCCCGGGGCCCAACCCCGGGACUGCUCUUGGAACUGCGUAGCUGGAGUGCAGGAGGGGCAGGAGGAAUUCCUGGUGUAGCGGUGAAAUGCGUAGAUAUCAGGAGGAACACCGGUGGCGAAGGCGUCCUGCUGGGCUGCAACUGACGUUGAGGCUCGAAAGCGUGGGGAGCAAACAGGAUUAGAUACCCCAGUAGUC
Molecule: ribosomal RNA, 440 nt
Filed under: uncultured bacterium
Lineage: Bacteria
Description: partial 16S ribosomal RNA
Rfam family: Bacterial small subunit ribosomal RNA
Source: RNAcentral